This 1964-nucleotide long non-coding RNA is filed under the name Medicago truncatula (barrel medic). Its description in RNAcentral is "long non-coding RNA (MTRU_LNC002383)". Lineage: Eukaryota; Viridiplantae; Streptophyta; Magnoliopsida; Fabales; Fabaceae. The record is from RNAcentral.
UGAAAUUUUAAAUUUAACUUUGAUGUUGAUUUAUGCCUAAUGCGAUACCGGGAUUCAUAGUUAAACGUUGUUAUUGCUCGAUAAAUGAACGCGACAAAAUGUAAAUAAUGUAUUUUAGUUCGACUGUCAUGUGCAUUGUGCGGAUUAUGUGAUAUUUUUGUCUUUAUACUGAAAGUAGAACUCAAAAUUGAAAAAACAAAUGAUUUAUUUUAGCAUUAAUAGACACGGUGGAACCAAAGGAAAUGUACAAACCAAACUGUCUCAUUUUAUUCUUUAUAUAGUUGGAGCUGUUUUUGUCCUUGUCUACGUUUUCACUAUUGUUUCUUUUUGAUAAAUCCGAGGAACAGACAAAUGCUUGUUAAUUAAUGAGUAUAUUUCUCACUUAAUAGUUAGUUCUAUGUGGUUACUUGUGUCCAUGAGGUGAGAGCUUAGCGAUAAGAGUUUCACCUUGUAACUUUGAAGGACGAAGUUCAAGUCCUCUCCAGAAAGUUCAUAAAAUGAUCAUUAGUUCUGCUUCAAUUAAUCAAAAUAUAUUAUGUAUGCUAAGCUUGUAAUUUUGAAGGAAAAAUAAAUCAUGGUGCUGCUUCAACAUUCAAUACAUUGUGAAUUGAUAUUUGCAAUUUUAAUUCCUUACUUAACUUUGUUACAGAUGCCUACAGCAUGGGUGGUUGCUUCCCUUGUGCCAAUUGCUGGUGGAGUGGCGCUGGCGUCUGCUACAGAGGUCUCUUUCAAUUGGUGAGUCUCCUUCUAUGGGAAGAUAAGAAUAGAAAUGCUAUUAUCAAAAGAACUAUUUGGUCAUUUGAAUUCUAAUAUGUGUUUUUUUUCCCUGCAAUAUUGAAUAGGGUUGGAUUUUUGAGUGCUAUGGCUUCCAAUUUGACGAAUCAAUCUCGUAAUGUUCUUAGCAAAAAACUCAUGGUUAACAAGGAGGUAAUAAUACGAUAUUAUGAUUGAUGAACUUGGUUAAGAGUAUCACAUAAUGUGUUAUGAAACUCUUGUCCAAAAUUUAAUCAUGCGAUGUUUGAUAUUGUGAAAAAUCACAAACAAAUACCACUGCUUAUCGCAGUUGUGAUAUGAUUGCAGAGAAAUAAAAAAUUGACAUCGUAGGAGCAUACCAUUUUUUUAGAACCUUGCACUUAUGUUUCAUUUCAUAUUCUUAUACACAAUAUUAAAUAACAAUAAUUUUUUUCUUCUCAGGAAUCCAUGGACAACAUAACCCUCUUCUCAGUAAUAACAGUCAUGUCAUUCUUCCUAUCAGUACCUAUAGCCCUCUUCAUGGAGGGUGUUAAAUUUACCCCUGCUUACCUGCAAUCUACAGUAAGAACUUCUUUGUUGAAAAUGAUUGGUACUGCUGUUAGCAUUCUCAAAUCAAAAUACAUUACUCUUUCCGUAACAAAAUUAAGCAAAAAAGUACAUACAUGGAUCAAAUCCAUGUAAUUUUUUAUUUAUAGUUUUGUUACUGAGUGAGUAUUUUGAUGAUGCUACUAAUAUAUGAUUGAUGUCAUUUUUAUUCACAGGGAUUAGAUGUUCAACAAGUGUACAUUAGAUCUCUUCUUGCUGCGCUUUGUUACCAUGCGUAUCAGCAAGUGAGUUUUCAUCUUCUAUGCACAUUAUAUUUUCCCCUUUUAUUCAAGAGUGUUACAAUUUCCACUUCUUUUUGUGAAAAAAUAAAUCAAGACUUCAUUAGUUAUAAUUCACUGAAAACAAAAUAAAAUUAUUUAGUAUGAAAUGGUUUAUCAUAUGUGCAGGUUUCUUAUAUGAUAUUGGAGAGAGUAUCACCUGUUACUCAUUCUGUAGCAAACUGUCUGAAGCGUGUGAUAGUUAUAGUGAGCUCUGUCAUAUUUUUCCAAACACCUGUCUCACCAAUUAACGCAUUAGGUACUAAAAUAAAAUUGCUUCCUUCUUUUUAACCAUAUAUAUCUCUUGUUGAAACUGAAAAUUUUAUGUGCUUAUUAAUUCUCUGCAGG